CCAAGGGUUCAGCUUCUCUCAUUUGGUGAAGUAAUCAAUGGUAACAAUUAUAAAUUUUCUCUGACCAGACAGCGGAGAAAAGAGAUCAAGUAUGUCGAUUCUCUAUUGCACGAAGGGCCAUGAUAUAAUAAUUAAUAUCAGCUGGCUGGUCGGUUGAUGUUGUAUGUUGGCAUACGUCUGAUAUGGUUCACAUUUUCGGACAAGUUCAGCUGCAUCUUUUUUCAUAGUGGGCCAAUAAUAUCUUUGUCGCAAGAUUUUAUAAGCCAAUAAUUUAUCCUCCAAGUGAUUUUCAUAAAUUUCUUCAUGAACUUCUCGGAGUGCAUAGUCAGCAUCUGUAGAUCUCAGACACUUCAGUAAGGGAAGAGAGAAUGAUCUCUUAUAGAGUUGUCCAUUCAUCAAAAUAUAUUAUAAGGCUAUCCAUCUUAGUCAUUUGGCCUCUGAAAGAUCUGCAGGUAGAGUUUCAUCAGUCAAAUAUUGGAUGAUUGGGUCCAUCCAACUUGGUUUGUCAUUGAUUUGUAACACUUUCUCAACUUUGUCGAUACUCAAUUGUUCAAGAUAUUCAAUGAACGUUCGAUCGAAUAAGCUGAAUGAAGUAGUUGCGAGUCGAGAAAGUACAUCAGCUC
Molecule: long non-coding RNA, 623 nt
Filed under: Elaeis guineensis (African oil palm)
Lineage: Eukaryota; Viridiplantae; Streptophyta; Magnoliopsida; Arecales; Arecaceae
Description: long non-coding RNA (EGUI_LNC010822)
Source: RNAcentral